AUGGGAGUUUCCCUGUACAAGCUCUCUUGCCUGCUGCCAUGUAAGAUGUCCCUUUGUUCUUCCUUUGUCUUUCACCAUGAUUGUGAGACCUCUCCAGCCGUGUGGAACUGUGAAUCAAUUAAACCUCUUACCUUUAUAAAUUACCCAGUCUCAGGUAUGUCUUUAUUUAUUUAUUUAUUUAAAUAUAUAUUUUAUUGUUUUAGGUUUUGGGGUACAUCUGAAGAACAUGCAAGAUUGUUGCAUAGUUUUCCUUCUAGGCCCCUCUGCUGUAGGACUGCUGGAGGUCCACUCCAGACCCUGCUUGCCUGGGGCUCACCUGCAGUGGCUGAAGAACAGUGACAGUUGCUGCCAGUUUCUUCUUCUGCUAUGUUUGUCCCAGAAGGAUACCUGCCAGAUGUCAGUCUGAGCUCUCCUUUAUGAGGUGAUUAUUUGGAUAUAUGGGGGUCGGGGAACUGCUUGAGGAGACAUUCUGUCCUUUAUAGGAGCUCAAGUGCUGAGGUGUGAGCCUUGUUUUUCCAUUCAGAGCUGCUGGGCAGGUACGUUUAAGUCUGCUGCAGUGGAACUCAUAACAGCCUUCUUUUUUCCUAGGUGCUGUGUUCCCAGAAGGUAGGGCUUUAAGUUUCUGUCAUGCUGCUGCCUUUUUUCAGGGAUGCCCUCCCCAGCGAGGAGGUAGCCUAGUCACAGUCUGCCAGAAGAGGUGUUGCUGAGCUGCUGUGGGCUCCGCCCAGCUGCUGUGUGAACUUCCCUGCAGUCCUGUUUAUAGGGGUAUAGUUAGUACUGCCUUGGCAAUGUCAGCUCACCUCUGUAACAGUGGACUCUCUCUGUAAUGGCAGACUGCCUUGGUAAUGGUGGACUGCCUCAGCAAUGGCAAGCUACUUUGGCUAUGGCAGACUGCCUCAGCAAUGGUGGGCCGCCUGGGUAGUGGUGAACUGCCUCAGUAAUGGCAGAUGCCCUUCCCCCACAGAGCUGGAUCCUCCCAGAUUCAGCUGUGCUUGCUGUGAAACUCUCAAUCCAGAGCCUUUCAGAUUGUUGGUCUUUGUGGAGGUGGGACCGGCUAUGCUUGAUCACCUGGCUCCCUGCCUCAGACCCCUUUUUCUUCAGUUGAAUGGGUGACUGUGUCUCCCCAGUGUUCCAGUCACCAGUUGAAAAGGUGCCCUGACUUGUGUGAGUUCUUGUGUGGAAAUCCGGCUGAAAGAGCCACGCUGGGGGCUUGGGUUCUUUUUCGCUUGUGAAUCUCCUGGCCUGGCUCCCUGUUUCAGUCCCCUUUUUAUCUAUUGAAUGGGAGACUGUUCCCCAGGUGUUUCAGUCACCAGCUGAAACCACACCCAGACCCCUGUGAGUUUUUUGAGGCAGAAAGCUGCCAUGCGGGCCGAAACAACCACACUGGAGACUCGUGGAGCUUUUUCACCCGGGAAUUUCCUGGCCUAGCUCCCUAUUUGUGUCCUCUUUUUAUCUGUUGAAUAGGAGACUGUUUCCCAGGUGUUUCAGUCACCAGCUGAAACCGCGCCCAGACCCCUGUGAGUUUUUUGAGGUGGAGAGCCACCACACUGGCCAAAACAGCCGUGCUGGAAACCCAUGGGGCUCCUCCACCCGGGAAUCUCCUGGUCUGUCGGCAAUAAAAGUCUGUCUGGAAAUGCUGCAAUCACUCACCCUCUGUGCACUAACUGGGAGCUGCAAUCCAGAGCUGCUCCUACUCAGCCACCUUGGAUCCCCCACCAGCUAUGUCUUUAAUAGCAGGGUGAGAAUGGACAAAUACACCCCUUCUUAGGAUGUCAACAUUGGCCUACUGCCUAUAUAGGCCAUAGUUUGGUCCUAUGAUCUGGUAUAUAAGAUAUGAAAGUGUGGAUGUCCUAGAUUCUUGUGAUACAGGGCCUAGCAAGCUGAAAACAAGAAAAUGAAAUCAGAUAUGGAUUUUCAGUAUGGCUGAGUGGCAGGUGAUGACAAUGUCUGCCAUUGUCGGUGUCUAAACUGACAGGAGUAGAGUCUAUCCUUCUAUCAGACUCUUUACCUGAUCCAAGAUGCCCACACCUGAAGCCAUGGAUGCUGCAUGAGAAGGCACAAUAACACCUGUGCUUAGGUUCAGGGAACUCUUCCAAUGUUCCCUUUCCUCUCAUGAGCUGACUCUGGGUACCAGACUGCUGAGUUUCACCUUUUGGUUCCCAAACCUUAUUUUGCCUUCAAAAUUGUGUCCAGAAGGUGGGGGCUAGGAUGCUCCCUUAAGGAGUCUCAACCCCAAAUGGAAUUAGCAACCAUGGAGGUUUGGAGUUCUGAAUUAACUCCUGGUGAACUUAUCAGCUAGAUCUGUUGAAGCAUGAACUGGGAUAAAGAGUUAUACGUUAGAUAACACAGCCUUGGCUGGGCACAGUGACUCACACCUAUAAUCCUAGCACUUUGAAAGACGGAGGUGGGCAGGUCACUUAAGGUCAGGAGUUCAAAACCAGUGUGGCCAACAUGGUGAAACUCCAUCUCUACUAAAAAAAAAAAAAAAAAGUCAGGCAUGAUGAUGGGUGCCUGUAAUUCCAGCUACUUGGGAGGCUGAGGCAGGAGAAUUGCUUGAACCUAGGAGGUGGAGGUUGCAGUGAGCUGAGAUAGCCCCACUGCACUCCAGCCUGGGCAACAGAGUGAGACUCUGUCUCAAAAAAACAAACCAAAACAAAAACACAGUCUGGAGAAAUUAAGCACAAAAACCAAAUUCAAAAGGACUAGCAAACAGAGUCCAGACUCACAAAUUUGAUUCUGCGGAUACAAUAUCACAGAACACACCAGGAACAAUAAUAGCUGUGGUCAACAUUUACCAAGAACUUACCAGGUGCCAGAUGUUGUGCUAAACUGCCCUACAUGUCUCAUUUAGUUUUCACAGGAAAUUGUCUUGGUCAAUUCCUGCUGCUAUUAACAAAAUACCAGACUGGUAAAUCUGUAAACAAUAGAAAUUUAUCUCUCCCAGUUCUGGAGGCUGAGAAGUCCAAGUUCAGGGUCAGUGUCUGGUGAAGACUGCUCCCUGCUUCCAAAAUGGCACCUUGCUGCUGCAUCCACUGGAGGGGAUGUGAAUGCUGUGUCCUCACAGAGUGGAAGAGAUGGAAGGGAAAAAAUUACAGAAGGGGAAAACAGCUCCUUUGCAUCUCUUUUGUAAGAACACUAAUCUCAUUCAUAAGCUCUGCCCCUUUACUCUGUACCUCCUAAUGGCCCCACCACUUAAUGCUAUCACAUUGGUGAUUAAGUUUCACCAUAUGAGUUUUGGAGGGUACGCAAACAUUCAAUCAUAGCAGAUGUUAGGAGGUAGAUUGUAUUGUCAUCCCUACCUUAUGGAUGAGGAAACUAAGGUUUGGAGAGUUUAAGUAAUUGGCUUAAACACAAUGACACAGCAGUAAGUAGAGCCAGAUUUAAACCAAUGCAUUCUCACCCAGAGCCUAACUCUCCAUUCAUUAUACUCUUCUCUGAGCUGUGGCUGGGAAUGCUGUUGGUAUUUGGGGGAUCAUCUUUGUAAGGGUUAUUGCCUAGUUUAAAAUGAGGAAACUGAGGCCAGUAUAAGAAAAUUAAAUGCCAAUUUAUUCAGCUCCCGGGCGAGGUUCUAUGGUCUGGGCAAAGGGGGCCAGAGAAGUCGCACUGACUUCCUGGGGCAGGGGGUUUUUAUGGCUAUGAGGAACGAGCAAUAACUGGGUGCUCUGAUUGGCUCCAGGGGAGCAGGAUUGCGAUGGGGCGGGCCGCCAUUGGUUGGGGGGUUGUUGGGCGGGUUUUCCAGUGUGAGAGCCGGCCAGGGUUGCAUCAGCCAGAGCUUUCCAGGUGAGCCAUGCGGCAGAGCUAGGUGCUGAGUGCAGAGCCUGGUGCCAGGUGCAGAGUCAGAUGCUGAGUGCAGAGGUGGGUGUGUCCAGCCUCCCAGGGAGGCAACCGGCCUUACAAUCUUCAUGAACUAGCAGCUUUGAUGCAGCUUUUGUCUGAGGCUCCAGAUGUCUGGGAGGCUUCAUGGCAUCCAUUCGAUUUCCAUUGCCUUGACUAAUGGCUGCAAAUAGAAACUCAAAGAAAAGCCAUUUCUUUGGGACUUACUCUGUGAAAACGUAUCUG
This is a long non-coding RNA of Callithrix jacchus (white-tufted-ear marmoset), 4059 nucleotides long. The record is from Ensembl. Lineage: Eukaryota; Metazoa; Chordata; Mammalia; Primates; Cebidae.